UGGGGAAUAUUGCACAAUGGGCGCAAGCCUGAUGCAGCCAUGCCGCGUGUAUGAAGAAGGCCUUCGGGUUGUAAAGUACUUUCAGCGGGGAGGAAGGGCGUAAAGUUAAUACCUUUGCUCAUUGACGUUACCCGCCGAAGAAGCACCGGCUAACUCCGUGCCAGCAGCCGCGGUAAUACGGAGGGUGCAAGCGUUAAUCGGAAUUACUGGGCGUAAAGCGCACGCAGGCGGUUUGUUAAGUUAGAUGUGAAAUCCCCGGGCUCAACCUGGGAACUGCAUCUGAUACUGGCAAACUUGAGUGUCGUAGAGGGGGGUAGAAGUCCAGGUGUAGCGGUGAAAUGCGUAGGGAUCUGGAGGAAUACCGGUGGCGAAGGCGGCCUCCUGGGCGAAGACUGACGCUCAGGUGCGAAAGCGUGGGGAGCAAACAGG
This 429-nucleotide ribosomal RNA is filed under the name Chloroflexota bacterium. Its description in RNAcentral is "Chloroflexi bacterium partial 16S ribosomal RNA". It matches the Rfam family "Bacterial small subunit ribosomal RNA", at positions 355 to 776 of the family's 1533-position model. Lineage: Bacteria; Bacillati; Chloroflexota. The record is from RNAcentral.